Molecule: ribosomal RNA, 1078 nt
Filed under: uncultured eukaryote
Lineage: Eukaryota
Description: SSU rRNA
Rfam family: Eukaryotic small subunit ribosomal RNA
Source: RNAcentral
CGGUAAUUCCAGCUCCAAUAGCGUAUACUAACGUUGUUGCAGUUAAAAAGCUCGUAGUUGGAUUUCUGUUGUGGGAUGCCGGCCGGGUUCUCUGAACUUGUAGCUAGGUUAUCUUGCAGCAUCUUGGCGCAAAUCUCACUGGCAUUCAUUUGUUGGUGUUGACGACCGCCUCGUUUACUUUGAGAAAAUUAGAGUGUUCAAAGCAGGCUAUAGCUUUUGAAUAUAUUAGCAUGGAAUAAUAUUAUAGGACUUUGCGUUCUAUUUUGUUGGUUGUUCGAGGACGCAAGUAAUGAUUGAUAGGGACAGUUGGGGGCAUCAGUAUUCUGAAGCGAGGGGUGAAAUUCUUGGACCUUCGGAAGACUAACAACUGCGAAAGCAUUUGCCUAGGAUGUUCUCUUUAAUCAAGAACGAAGGUUGGGGGAUCGAAGACGAUCAGAUACCGUCGUAGUCUCAACUAUAAACUAUGCCAGCUAGGGAUGGGUUGAUGUUUAAAUACGACUCAAUCCGCACCUUAUGAGAAAUCAAAGCAUUUGGGUUCCGGGGGGAGUAUGGUCGCAAGGCUGAAACUUAAAGGAAUUGACGGGAGGGCACCACCAGGAGUGGAGCCUGUGGCUUAAUUUGACUCAACACGGGAAAACUUACCAGGUCCGGACAUAGCUAGGAUUGACAGACUGAUAGCUCUUUCUUGAUUCUAUGGGUGGUGGUGCAUGGCCGUUCUUAGUUGGUGGAGUGAUUUGUCUGGUUAAUUCCGUUAACGAACGAGACCCCAGCCUGCUAAAUAGCUUGCUUUAUCUUUGAUAAACGUCAGCUUCUUAGAGGGACUAUUCUGUGUAUAACGAAUGGAAGUUUGGGGCAAUAACAGGUCUGUGAUGCCCUUAGAUGUUCUGGGCCGCACACGGGCUACACUGCGAUGUUCAGCAAGCUUCAUAACCUGACUCGAUAGGGUCGGGCAAUCUUUUGAACUCAUCGCGUGAUAGGGAUAGACUCUUGCAAUUAUUAGUCUUCAACGAGGAAUUCCUAGUAAACGCAAGUCAUCAGCUUGCAUUGAUUACGUCCCUGCCCCUUGUACACACCGCCC